GGGGCUGAUAUUGGAUUCGACAAAAUUUUUGAAAACUAUUAGUUCAUGCCGAGGUUCGGUUGCCUCGAUAAAAACCGAAAAUUUAAUAAAUGCAAAACAAGAACAAUACGCUUUAGCAGCUUAAUAAACUAUUAAAGUCCUUUUUUUAUUCUUAUUUAUUCUUUUAAAAGAAUAAAAUAUUUAAAGGUUAAAAAAAAGAAAUCCAAUAUAGGAAUUUCUCAUAUCUUAUAUGGAAAAAAAAUUGAGAUAGGUAUUUAAAAAAGUAUUGUCUUUUAUACUAAAAUACUAAAAAAAAUAAAAGAAUAAGCAUGUAAUACUAUAGUUGUAAAUAUUUUGGACGCGGGUUCGAAUCCCGCCAGCUCCAA
This 365-nucleotide transfer-messenger RNA is filed under the name Buchnera aphidicola (Therioaphis trifolii). It matches the Rfam family "transfer-messenger RNA". From Rfam's summary of the family: Bacterial tmRNA, also known as 10Sa RNA or SsrA, is named for its dual tRNA and mRNA-like properties. Its role is to liberate the mRNA from a stalled ribosome. To accomplish this part of the tmRNA is used as a reading frame that ends in a translation stop signal. The record is from RNAcentral. Lineage: Bacteria; Pseudomonadati; Pseudomonadota; Gammaproteobacteria; Enterobacterales; Erwiniaceae.